RNAcentral lists this long non-coding RNA (823 nucleotides) under Ailuropoda melanoleuca (giant panda). RNAcentral describes it as "lncRNA (ENSAMEG00000029095.1)". Lineage: Eukaryota; Metazoa; Chordata; Mammalia; Carnivora; Ursidae. The record is from RNAcentral.
AUCUUUAUUGCUUACGGACCUUAUUUUUUUUAAGAUUUUAUUUAUUUAUUUGUCAGAGAGAGAGAGCAGAAGCAGGGGGAGCAGCAGGCAGAGACAAGCAGACUCACUGCUGAGCAGGCAGCCCAAUGCAGGACUCCACCCCAGCACGCCAGGAUCAUGACCCAAGCCGAAGGUAGACACUUAACCGACUGAGCCACUCAGGUGCCCUACGGACUUUAUUUUUAAGAGUUGGCUCUGGAUCCGUUUCAUGCCUUUAUUCCAGACUCCAGGCUAGAGAGGCCGCCCAGCGCAGGUGGAAGAGAGCAAGGGUAGAAUCACUGUGGGGCUCUUACAGCUUCUGCUCGGAUGUGGCAGAAACAUGUCUGCUCAAAUUCAGUAACUGAAGCAAGCCACUCCGUUUUGAGGUUCCUGGAUCUGAAACAAACUGAUCUGAAACAAACAUGGACCCAGCCAGCGACCCUGCUGCACCAAGGCACAGUGAAUCGUGCCCAGGCCUCGUUUCCGGCCCGCACCUUGGCUCCACCUUUAUACAGAGGUGGGGAGGAGACCGAGUCGCCAUUCUGGCUCUGGGGUCCCGCCGGCCUGCCUUUACCCCUUUUGCAGGCCGCCCUGCCCGCCCACCUGCCCCCACCCUCUAUGAGAUGAGUGACACUCAAGACUUGGCCACUUUCCCCGCGGUUGCCACCCAGGUGAAGCCGGGGGGCUGGAGCCGUCAAGGUGGGGGGAGUGGGUCCGUCCAUCAGCGCCGGCACCAGGAGCUCCAGGCCUUUCUUAACCUGCUGGGUGAGUUCACUUGGGGGCUGGCAUGGAAGGGGCUGUGGGG